This 278-nucleotide long non-coding RNA is filed under the name Chloebia gouldiae (Gouldian finch). RNAcentral describes it as "Erythrura gouldiae (Gouldian finch) lncRNA (ENSEGOG00005019277.1)". Lineage: Eukaryota; Metazoa; Chordata; Aves; Passeriformes; Passeridae. The record is from RNAcentral.
CUUCUUACAAGUCUCUGCUUGUAUCUUUAAGCAGUUUAGGAAUACAAAUAACCAAAUUGGAAGGUUCGUAUCUAGCCUGUGGAGUGGCUGUUAUGCUUGUUAACUUGAUCUCUUAUCCUAGAUUAACUGAAGUCUUUGAAUUAAUCUACCUUUCCUGGGAGGAAGCUAGCACCAUUUAUCUUAUAUACAACUGUCUUAUAAGUUUUGGAAACACAUUGAGGGUGAUACUGAAGAAUUCUGCCUUGAAUUUCUGCUCGGACAGGAAAACACAGCAGUGA